Molecule: ribosomal RNA, 641 nt
Filed under: Saccharothrix sp. I12A-02585
Lineage: Bacteria; Bacillati; Actinomycetota; Actinomycetes; Pseudonocardiales; Pseudonocardiaceae
Also listed under: 1 other name
Description: bacterial SSU rRNA
Rfam family: Bacterial small subunit ribosomal RNA
Source: RNAcentral
GAGCGGCGAACGGGUGAGUAACACGUGGGUAACCUGCCCUGUACUCUGGGAUAAGCCUGGGAAACUAGGUCUAAUACCGGAUAUGACCUGCCUCCGCAUGGUGGUGGGUGGAAAGUUCCGGCGGUACAGGAUGGACCCGCGGCCUAUCAGCUUGUUGGUGGGGUAAUGGCCUACCAAGGCGACGACGGGUAGCCGGCCUGAGAGGGUGACCGGCCACACUGGGACUGAGACACGGCCCAGACUCCUACGGGAGGCAGCAGUGGGGAAUAUUGCACAAUGGGCGAAAGCCUGAUGCAGCGACGCCGCGUGAGGGAUGACGGCCUUCGGGUUGUAAACCUCUUUCAGCGGGGACGAAGGGCAACUGACGGUACCCGCAGAAGAAGCACCGGCUAACUACGUGCCAGCAGCCGCGGUAAUACGUAGGGUGCGAGCGUUGUCCGGAAUUAUUGGGCGUAAAGAGCUCGUAGGCGGUUUGUUGCGUCGGCUGUGAAAACUUCACGCUUAACGUGGAGCCUGCAGUCGAUACGGGCAGACUUGAGUUCGGCAGGGGAGACUGGAAUUCCUGGUGUAGCGGUGAAAUGCGCAGAUAUCAGGAGGAACACCGGUGGCGAAGGCGGGUCUCUGGGCCGAUACUGACGCUG